CUACGGGUCGCUCCAGUGAGGAAUUUUGCGCAAUGGGGGGAACCCUGACGCAGCAACGCCGCGUGAGUGAUGAAGGCUUUCGGGUCGUAAAGCUCUGUCAAGUGGGAAGAACCUAUGCAGUGUUAAUAUCACUGUAUACUGACGGUACCACUGAAGGAAGCACCGGCUAACUCCGUGCCAGCAGCCGCGGUAAUACGGGGGGUGCAAGCGUUAUUCGGAAUCAUUGGGCGUAAAGGGCACGUAGGCGGCUUGGUAAGUCAGAUGUGAAAGCCCGGGGCUUAACCCCGGAAGUGCAUUUGAUACUGUCGGGCUUGAGUAUGGGAGAGGGAAGUGGAAUUCCUGGUGUAGAGGUGAAAUUCGUAGAUAUCAGGAGGAACACCGGUGGCGAAGGCGACUUCCUGGACCAAUACUGACGCUGAGGUGCGAAGGCGUGGGUAGCAAACAGGAUUAGAUACCCCAGUAGUC
RNAcentral lists this ribosomal RNA (465 nucleotides) under uncultured bacterium. RNAcentral describes it as "partial 16S ribosomal RNA". It matches the Rfam family "Bacterial small subunit ribosomal RNA", at positions 339 to 795 of the family's 1533-position model. The record is from RNAcentral.